Molecule: ribosomal RNA, 403 nt
Filed under: uncultured bacterium
Lineage: Bacteria
Description: partial 16S ribosomal RNA
Rfam family: Bacterial small subunit ribosomal RNA
Source: RNAcentral
AUUGAACGCUGGCGGCAGGCCUAACACAUGGAAGUCGAGCGAGCGGCGGACGGGUGAGGAAUGUAUGGGGACUGCCCGAUAGAGGGGGAUAACUACUGGAAAUGGUGGCUAAUACCGCAUACUAUCGGAUAACCCAUAUGGGAUUCGCUAGUAGGUGGGGUAAAGGCUCACCUAGGCGAUGAUCUCUAGCUGGUCUGAGAGGAUGCUUAGCCACGCUGGGACGUAGACACGGCCCAGACUCCUACGGAGGCAGCCGUGGGGAAUAGUGCACAAGGGGCGCAAGCCUGAUGCAGCCAUGCCGCGUGUAUGAAGAAGGCCUUAGGGUUGUAAAGGACUUUCAGCGUGGAUGCGUUACCCGCAGAAGAAGCACCGGCUAACGCCGUGCCAGCAGCCGCGGUAAUUC